RNAcentral lists this ribosomal RNA (425 nucleotides) under uncultured bacterium. RNAcentral's name for it is "partial 16S ribosomal RNA". It matches the Rfam family "Bacterial small subunit ribosomal RNA", at positions 354 to 796 of the family's 1533-position model. The record is from RNAcentral.
GUUAGGAAUAUUGGACAAUGGGCGCAAGCCUGAUCCAGCCAUGCCGCGUGAGUGAUGAAGGCCUUCGGGUUGUAAAGCUCUUUAGUCCACGAAUAUAAUGACUGUAGUGGAAGAAUAAGCCCCGGCUAAUUUCGUGCCAGCAGCCGCGGUAAUACGAAGGGGGCGAGCGUUAUUCGGAAUCACUGGGCGUAAAGCGUGCGUAGGCUGUUUUGUAAGUCAGAAGUGAAAGCCCAGGGCUUAACCCUGGAAUUGCUUUUGAAACUACAAGACUCGAAUUCGGGAGAGGAUAGCGGAAUUGUCAGUGUAGCAGUGAAAUGCGUAGAUAUUGACAGGAACACCAGUGGCGCAAGCGGCUAUCUGGACCGAUAUUGACGCUGAGGCACGAAAGCGUGGGGAGCAAACAGGAUUAGAAACCCUGGUAGUCC